AGAGUUUGAUCAUGGCUCAGGAUGAACGCUGGCGGCGUGCCUAACACAUGCAAGUCGAGCGAUCUUCUUCGGAAGAGAGCGGCGGACGGGUGAGUAACGCGUGGGUAACCUACCUCAUACACAUGGAUAACAUACCGAAAGGUAUACUAAUACAAGAUGAUAUAAGAGAUUCGCAUGGAUUUCUUAUCAAAGCUCCGGCGGUAUGAGAUGGACCCGCGUCUGAUUAGCUAGUUGGUAAGGUAACGGCUUACCAAGGCGACGAUCAGUAGCCGACCUGAGAGGGUGAUCGGCCACAUUGGAACUGAGACACGGUCCAAACUCCUACGGGAGGCAGCAGUGGGGAAUAUUGCACAAUGGGCGAAAGCCUGAUGCAGCAACGCCGCGUGAGCGAUGAAGGCCUUCGGGUCGUAAAGCUCUGUCCUCAAGGAAGAUAAUGACGGUACUUGAGGAGGAAGCCCCGGCUAACUACGUGCCAGCAGCCGCGGUAAUACGUAGGGGGCUAGCGUUAUCCGGAUUUACUGGGCGUAAAGGGUGCGUAGGUGGUUUCUUAAGUCAGGAGUGGAAGGCUACGGCUCAACCGUAGUAAGCUCUUGAAACUGGGAAACUUGAGUGCAGGAGAGGAAAGUGGAAUUCCUAGUGUAGCGGUGAAAUGCGUAGAUAUUAGGAGGAACACCAGUAGCGAAGGCGGCUUUCUGGACUGUAACUGACACUGAGGCACGAAAGCGUGGGGAGCAAACAGGAUUAGAUACCCUGGUAGUCCACGCCGUAAACGAUGAGUACUAGGUGUCGGGGGUUACCCCCCUCGGU
Molecule: ribosomal RNA, 807 nt
Filed under: uncultured bacterium
Lineage: Bacteria
Description: bacterial SSU rRNA
Rfam family: Bacterial small subunit ribosomal RNA
Source: RNAcentral